AACGGAGAUACAAAAAGAUCACAAAA
RNAcentral lists this small RNA (26 nucleotides) under Arabidopsis thaliana (thale cress). Its description in RNAcentral is "ATSL137860". Lineage: Eukaryota; Viridiplantae; Streptophyta; Magnoliopsida; Brassicales; Brassicaceae. The record is from RNAcentral.